UGUAAAAAUGAAUGGCCACUUCCAGGUAUGGCUGAGAAGGGUGAAAAUGCAUGCACCCACAGACACACACACACACCGUGGAAAUGAGGAAAAGUUACUUCUCUCUGUUGUAAAUUUAAAUGCAGUCCAGAGUAGUGAAGGCCGUUUGUAAGGUCUGCUGAGCUAAUGGAUUCAUAAUGACUUUUAAAGCUUCACUCGGUACAUCCUAUGUGCCAGACACUGCGAUAGGUUCUGGAGAUAACAACAGUGUCCAAGAAACAACAGUGUCCAAGAAACAGGACUUUCCCUCAAAGAGCUUACUGGGGAAGCCAGCAAGACCAGCAGACAAACACAGCUGCACUGGGGGAGAGCCUGCUGAAGCUGCUUGAAUCUCAACACUGUCAUACCCGCCAUCUCAUUAUCUACAGCCACAUCUAAAACCCACAUGAAAUACCAAGUCACACGCGGCUCUGGGAAAGACAUUUUACAGAGACCAUCUUAUGAGUUUUUAAUCUGCCUCCUGAGAACUUACAAUCUAAGAAAUAGAAAACUGAUUCCAGUAAGCAUGCCCAGAAUAUGCUAGCAGCAAGAUUAAAACAUGAAACUAUGAAUGUUAAGAUAUUCAUAUGUAUUCUUGGGCAAGAUUUCUUUCCCUGGGCUAGAUGUCCCAAGGACCACACUCCUCUGUCCCUUUCAAAGAAAAGACAGACCUCACUGGGAAGUCCUGGAUUGUGUCCACUGCUGCUGUCACCGGAGUCUGACCCCAGCCCUGCCCAUCUCCAGGGAUCGCAGAACCUGCCAGCCAACUUCCUUUGAGUCAGCCGGUCAGGGCUGCAUCUUAGAAGCCAAGCUGCUUUGGUGUGAUUUCUGAAGUCUGUGCAUUUGCCUUAACUGUCAGGCCACUGGCUUCCCUGAGACUGGCUUCUGCCGUUUGCUCCCUGACAGUGAUAGUGAUAGCAGGACAGACUAACAGUCGGAGCACCCUGUGCAUCUCUUUCCAAGGAAUCCAUCCAUGGCAGGGACUGUGGAGCGCUCUCAAAGACAGCCACUUUGCAGGCAUUUAGUAGGACAUGGGCUCACCUCUUGCCUCCUCUUCUGCCUUUCCUUCCAGCUCCUUGCCCUUUACAAUAGCUGAAGAUUUUUUUAAGUGGAGCUGCUGAUAAUUAAAAUUAUAUCUUUUUUCCACCAAUGUCUGAAACUCUGGGAAGUCAUUAUCAGAGUCAGACAGUGAUAUUUUGAUAUCCCAGGAUCUUUUUGAUAUAAGGAAUAAAGUUCUAAGGCAUGAGAAG
This 1268-nucleotide long non-coding RNA is filed under the name Homo sapiens (human). Its description in RNAcentral is "HSALNT0365634". The record is from RNAcentral. Lineage: Eukaryota; Metazoa; Chordata; Mammalia; Primates; Hominidae.